RNAcentral lists this ribosomal RNA (253 nucleotides) under uncultured bacterium. RNAcentral's name for it is "partial 16S ribosomal RNA". It matches the Rfam family "Bacterial small subunit ribosomal RNA", at positions 524 to 776 of the family's 1533-position model. The record is from RNAcentral.
UACGUAGGGGCCGAGCGUUGUCCGGAGUUACUGGGCGUAAAGCGCGCGCAGGCGGCUCGUCAAGCCUGACGUGAAAGCCCCCGGCUCAACCGGGGAGGGUCGUCGGGACUGGCGGGCUUGAGGUCGGCAGGGGUUGGUGGAAUUCCCGGUGUAGUGGUGGAAAUGCGUAGAGAUCGGGAGGAACACCCGUGGCGAAGGCGGCCAACUGGGCCGGACCUGACGCUGAGGCGCGAAGGCGUGGGGAGCGAACGGG